This 218-nucleotide ribosomal RNA is filed under the name Simuliidae environmental sample. RNAcentral describes it as "partial 18S ribosomal RNA". It matches the Rfam family "Eukaryotic small subunit ribosomal RNA", at positions 466 to 682 of the family's 1831-position model. The record is from RNAcentral. Lineage: Eukaryota; Metazoa; Arthropoda; Insecta; Diptera; Simuliidae.
AGUGACGAAAAAACAAUACAGGACUCUUUUAUGAUGUUCUGUAAUUGGAAUGAAUUAACUUUAAAUCCUUUAAUGAGGAUCAAGUGGAGGGCAAGUCUGGUGCCAGCAGCCGCGGUAAUUCCAGCUCCACUAGCGUAUAUUAAAGUUGUUGCGGUUAAAACGUUCGAAGUUGAACUUUGUCUCACACUGUGGCGUCCCCCUUACGGGUGUUGGCGGUC